AAUGAACGCUGGCGGCAUGCCUUACACAUGCGAGUCGAACGGCAGCAUGACCUCGCUUGCUAGGUUGAUGGCGAGUGGCGAACGGGUGAGUAAUGCAUCGGAACGUGCCUUUUAGUGGGGGAUAACGUAGCGAAAGUUACGCUAAUACCGCAUAUUCUCUGAGGAGGAAAGCAGGGGGCCUUCGGGCCUUGCGCUAGAAUAGCGGCCGAUGUCGGAUUAGCUAGUUGGUGAGGUAAAGGCUCACCAAGGCAACGAUCCGUAGCGGGUCUGAGAGGAUGAUCCGCCACACUGGGACUGAGACACGGCCCAGACUCCUACGGGAGGCAGCAGUGGGGAAUUUUGGACAAUGGGCGCAAGCCUGAUCCAGCCAUGCCGCGUGAGUGAAGAAGGCCUUCGGGUUGUAAAGCUCUUUCGGCUGGGAAGAAAACGCACUCUCUAAUACAGGGUGUGGAUGACGGUACCAGCAGAAGAAGCACCGGCUAACUACGUG
This 490-nucleotide ribosomal RNA is filed under the name uncultured bacterium. Its description in RNAcentral is "partial 16S ribosomal RNA". It matches the Rfam family "Bacterial small subunit ribosomal RNA", at positions 29 to 507 of the family's 1533-position model. The record is from RNAcentral.